Molecule: non-coding RNA, 21 nt
Filed under: Caenorhabditis elegans
Lineage: Eukaryota; Metazoa; Nematoda; Chromadorea; Rhabditida; Rhabditidae
Source: RNAcentral
UGGGGUGCUGUAACAAUUUUG